GACACUUUGGCCGAGUGGUUAAGGCGUUAGCCUGCUAAGCUAAUGGGGUCUCCCCGCAUGAGUUCAAAUCUCAUAGGUGUCG
This is a non-coding RNA of Blepharisma stoltei, 82 nucleotides long. The record is from the annotation of a GenBank genome assembly. Lineage: Eukaryota; Ciliophora; Heterotrichea; Heterotrichida; Blepharismidae.